This 494-nucleotide ribosomal RNA is filed under the name uncultured bacterium. RNAcentral describes it as "partial 16S ribosomal RNA". It matches the Rfam family "Bacterial small subunit ribosomal RNA", at positions 28 to 507 of the family's 1533-position model. The record is from RNAcentral.
GACGAACGCUGGCGGCGUGCUUAACACAUGCAAGUCGAACGGUGAAGCGCCUUCCUUUUUGGUGGGUGUGGAUGAGUGGCGAACGGGUGAGUAACACGUGAGUAACCUGCCCCCUUCUUCUGGAUAACCGCAUGAAAGUGUGGCUAAUACGGGAUAUUCUGGGUCUGUCGCAUGAUGGGUCUGGGAAAGAUAUUGUUUCGGUGGGGGAUGGGCUCGCGGCCUAUCAGCUUGUUGGUGGGGUGAUGGCCUACCAAGGCGGUGACGGGUAGCCGGCCUGAGAGGGUGGACGGCCACACUGGGACUGAGACACGGCCCAGACUCCUACGGGAGGCAGCAGUGGGGAAUAUUGCACAAUGGGCGCAAGCCUGAUGCAGCGACGCCGCGUGAGGGAUGGAGGCCUUCGGGUUGUGAACCUCUUUCGCCAGUGAAGCAGGCCUGCCUCGUUUGUGGGUGGGUUGACGGUAGCUGGAUAAGAAGCGCCGGCUAACUACGUG